GACAGCAGUAGCCGCGGGAAUACGUAGGGUGCAAGCGUUAAUCGGAAUUACUGGGCGUAAAGCGUGCGCAGGCGGUUAUAUAAGACAGAUGUGAAAUCCCCGGGCUCAACCUGGGAACUGCAUUUGUGACUGUAUAGCUAGAGUACGGCAGAGGGGGAUGGAAUUCCGCGUGUAGCAGUGAAAUGCGUAGAUAUGCGGAGGAACACCGAUGGCGAAGGCAAUCCCCUGGGCCUGUACUGACGCUUAUGCACGAAAGCGUGGGGAGCAAACAGGAUUAGAUACCCCCGUAGUCCCUGUCUCUUAUAA
This 306-nucleotide ribosomal RNA is filed under the name uncultured bacterium. RNAcentral's name for it is "partial 16S ribosomal RNA". It matches the Rfam family "Bacterial small subunit ribosomal RNA", at positions 507 to 809 of the family's 1533-position model. The record is from RNAcentral.